AUGAAAUUAUUUUAAGUCUUCUAAACUUAAUAAGAGUUUUACUCUUUCAUU
RNAcentral lists this transfer RNA (51 nucleotides) under Bursaphelenchus mucronatus. RNAcentral's name for it is "tRNA-Ser". The record is from RNAcentral. Lineage: Eukaryota; Metazoa; Nematoda; Chromadorea; Rhabditida; Aphelenchoididae.